GACCUUUUAACUCUAUAGUAGAGUAACGCCAUGGUAAGGCGUAAUCAUCGGUUAAAAUCCGAUAAGGGGUU
RNAcentral lists this transfer RNA (71 nucleotides) under Solanum lycopersicum (tomato). It matches the Rfam family "tRNA". From Rfam's summary of the family: Transfer RNA (tRNA) molecules are approximately 80 nucleotides in length. Their secondary structure includes four short double-helical elements and three loops (D, anti-codon, and T loops). Lineage: Eukaryota; Viridiplantae; Streptophyta; Magnoliopsida; Solanales; Solanaceae. The record is from Rfam by way of RNAcentral. RNAcentral also lists the same sequence under 1 other name.